This is a long non-coding RNA of Bactrocera oleae (olive fruit fly), 1132 nucleotides long. RefSeq lists it as uncharacterized. The record is from RefSeq and is a predicted model, not a curated record. NCBI's taxonomy places the organism in Eukaryota, Metazoa, Arthropoda, Insecta, Diptera, Tephritidae.
UCGUCUUGAUUUUCAAAAUCAAUAUGUUUUAUACUUAUGUAAAUAUAACCUUCGCAAUCACAAUUUUUCGUAAUCUUGUAUUCUAUCAUUUUUGUCAUUGAACAUAUGUACAUACUUUUAAAGAGGCUGCAGCACAUAAGUACAUACAGCUGACCGCGAGCUCUGUUGUGCAUAUUUCGAGUAAUUUAAUUGUUGUCUAAACUACAAGAUCGGGAAAAUAUGCGUGUUUAGAAAACGGCUAAAUUUGGAGCGGAGCGUAAUCGAGAAUACAGAGCACGAAAAAAGGAUUGCAUCCUACGCAAUUUCAUUAAUUAUUGUUCAAGCUGACAUCCAUCACCAAGAGUCGUAGUUGCCCAACAUCUCGUGAAAAUACAGUACACGAACAAUUUAUUGAUUAUAGUGAUAAUGCAGCAAUAAAACACAAACCAAUAUACCAACACAGACCGUUGUCGGGAAUAUAGAAUGUGAAAUAAGGCUAAAAUGCGAUAUCAAAUUAUAACUGAAGCUUCAUCUUCAUACUUGGCUAGAUAUUGAGAUAUUAUUGUGCAUAAUUAAUCAUCCAAUCCAGAAAGCACAGCAAAAACACCUGAACAGAGAAGUCGAGAGUAUAUAGCAUGACGGAAAUAUUUGCAGAACGUGAUUGCAACAAUCAGUCCAAAGCAGGCGGUUUAUAAUGAAUGCGAUACUCCACAUUUUCAUACAAGUGCAACAAAUUUCACGGCACGUACAGUGAGUUUGACUGAUAUUAGCGAUACCCGAUAUUUUAAUGUAAAAUAUUAAAUGGAAAAGAAAUGGUCAUCGCAGCGAUCUACGUAUCUCCUAACCAAAAAAUGUUGAGGAUAUCAUGUAUUUCAUACAGAGUUUGUUGGUUAUGUACAUUCAUGGCGGUGCUGAUAUUCUUGGCGGGGGUGACGAUCACAUAUCGGUUUAGAUAUGAAUAGUGACCGGAAAAUUGCCACGACUAAAUCAAAAACAACGAUUGAUGCUCUAUUCUUCAGAAAUCUACACUAUUUAGACUGUUUCAUAUUUCAGUUACCAUAGAGCCAUAAUAUACGCUAUACCUAUACCUGACUGAAGAUAAUGUGAAAAUUGGAGAAAUAAAUUAUAUAUUAAAUUUGUAUAUUCACAUCUA